GAACGCUGGCGGCGUUGCUUAACACAUGCAAGUCGAACGGGAUUCGGAGCUUGCUCCGAUGAGAGUGGCGCACGGGUGAGUAACGCGUGGAUAACCUGCCCUGGUAUCUGGAAUAACAUCUCGAAAGGGGUGCUAAUACCGGAUAAGCCUACGGGUUCCUCGGAAUCUGCAGGAAAAGGUGGCCUCUAUUUAUAAGCUACCGUAUCAGGAUGGGUCCGCGUACCAUUAGCUAGUUGGUGGGGUAAUGGCCUACCAAGGCGACGAUGGUUAGCUGGUCUGAGAGGAUGAUCAGCCACACUGGAACUGAGACACGGUCCAGACUCCUACGGGAGGCAGCAGUGGGGAAUUUUGCGCAAUGGGGGAAACCCUGACGCAGCAACGCCGCGUGAGUGAUGAAGGCUUUCGGGUCGUAAAGCUCUGUCAGAGGGGAAGAAAUGGAAACGGUUAAUACCCGUUUUCCUUGACGGUACCCUCAAAGGAAGCACCGGCUAACUCCGUGCCAGCAGCCGCGGUAAUACGGAGGGUGCAAGCGUUGUUCGGAUUUAUUGGGCGUAAAGGGAGCGUAGGCGGACAUUUAAGUCAGGGGUGAAAUCCCGGGGCUCAACCUCGGAAUUGCCUUUGAUACUGGGUGUCUUGAGUAUGAGAGAGGUGUGUGGAACUCCGAGUGUAGAGGUGAAAUUCGUAGAUAUU
RNAcentral lists this ribosomal RNA (690 nucleotides) under uncultured bacterium. RNAcentral describes it as "bacterial SSU rRNA". It matches the Rfam family "Bacterial small subunit ribosomal RNA", at positions 31 to 698 of the family's 1533-position model. The record is from RNAcentral.